UGCAGGUCGUCUAUAUCUUAAUGCCACAUCAGGAACACACAUUUAUUUCGAUAAAGAGACUAAUGUAGGAGAGAGCUACUUUUACAAGUUGGUCUCCACAGACACUGGGCUUCCCUCAGCCGCUCCACUGCUGAGGGGAUAUGCUAAGGUUGAGACUCUAACCAUAGCUGAGCGUAAUGAGUUUAUAAUCACAGCUCUAACUCAGGAUAUUGAUUUCAUAUGCACUGGGAAAGUGACAAGCAGCAAGAUAGAGAAAAGGAUGAUGUUCUGUUGCUUGCUCCGUUGUACCAAAAAAAACUGCAGCGCGCCGUUGUUGAUAUGGAAGGAAAAACAU
This is a long non-coding RNA of Brassica oleracea var. oleracea, 334 nucleotides long. RefSeq lists it as uncharacterized. NCBI's taxonomy places the organism in Eukaryota, Viridiplantae, Streptophyta, Magnoliopsida, Brassicales, Brassicaceae. The record is from RefSeq and is a predicted model, not a curated record. The transcript is spliced from 3 exons.